Pyrgilauda ruficollis (rufous-necked snowfinch) is the source of this 2527-nucleotide long non-coding RNA. RefSeq lists it as uncharacterized. The record is from RefSeq and is a predicted model, not a curated record. Lineage: Eukaryota; Metazoa; Chordata; Aves; Passeriformes; Passeridae. The transcript has 2 exons.
GUUAAGGACGAGCCUUGUUUCCUCUCAGCAGCCAUUGGAGCUGAGUAUUAGAGCCCUCUAGUGAGGUUUCUCGGAGUGGAUCCCGCCUCCAGCCCGUGGGGCCGAAGGAGCCUCUUUCCUUCCUCGGGGGAUCCGAAAUUCCCUUUGGUGCCGCAGGACACGGUGGACGGUUUGCUCCCUUUGGGAAAAGGCCCUCCGGAGCUCGGGUUCACCUGCGCCGCCGCCACCUGAGCGCCCCAGAGACGCCGGCGGUGCCGCUGGCCCGGGACCUCCCGGCCGCCGCCGCCGCUGCCGCUGCACCAAGGGGGCUGUGCUCGGUCCCCCCGGCGGGCAUCGCGCACCCACGGGGCGACAGGACUGUGGCCGAGCCCCCGGAGCUGUCUGCUGCCUGGGGAGGGAAGGCAGGAGCGAAGGGAGGGCUGCCUCUUCCUAAAAAUACUCCCCGGUCAAAUUCCUGUGAGCCAGGGAUGGAGAUGGUAACAAAAAUGCUCUGAAUCGGUAGGAACAGUGAACAAUCUUCGUGCUUUCCUCAUCAUCUUGGAAUAAUCAGCGGAAUUAACUGAGGUCGAGGAAACAGGCUCUUGGCUGUACACUGUGUGCCGAGAGAGUUCCCUCGCGCCGCGGAGCAUCUGAGGCGGUCCCCGCAGCCGGGAGUGGGGCGGAGGCUGACUGGCCACCGGCCCGGGCCCCCCUUCUGUUUCCCCUGGUCCUCCCCCCAGCCGAUUGUGGACUCCGUGGGAUCUGUGGGAACACCCCAAAUAAAUAUCCAUGCUGGGGUUAACGGCCGGGAGGGUGCUGUUGGCAGAACUGGGUAAAAACUCUCAACCCCUCGCCCUAGAUUGAGAAAGAAUAAUAUAAAAGUAAUCAGGACCGGCCGCAUUAAUCGUCUGGGGGGGCCAUCUUGUUUCGUGGGAGGCUCCGGAGGUUACAGCGCCUUGAGCUGGGGACACAGUGCCGCCCCCGGAGUCCCAUUUCACGGGGGGCGGCCGGGGGGCGGGAAGGUUCACCGAGGGCGACUCAGUCACGUCCCUUCAGGCCCCCAUCUCCUGAUUAAUACAUCUCUUUCGAAGGUGUUACUCGAGCAUCUCAGGUCUAGCCGGCGGGGAAAAGGCUCCGCGCUGGAGACGAGCGGCGGAGCUGCGGGAGCGGGGAGCGGGGCGGCUCCGUGGGGCAGAGGCUCCGCUCCCCUGGGCUCCCAGCAGAGUGCCCCAGUCCCCAGCACCCGCUCCGCGCCCCGCACCCACCAGCGUUCUCUUUCAAGCGGAGUUUGUUAGCAUAAUCGAGUUACCCGCUACAUAUCUGAAAUCCUUGACCCGUCCCCUUGAGGAACGGUGCAUUGCGCGCAGCAAAAGCUUUGAAUUAUUCCUUUCUCCCCAAACCAGGGAACAACAAGCAACUGUUGUUUGUCUUAAUUUAGUUGUGUGCAGUGAUCGUCUGCCGUGCUUUCUUUUUUCAGUCGAAACAGGAACUUAGUGCCAUCUUUGAUGGGAUAGAUUCGGGUUUUAAACAAAACUGAAAAAUAAAUAAAAGCGUGAAUAAAUAACGUGAGGGCGGAGGGAAAAACCCGCGGAUCCGGGUUGCAAAUUUGCCUCUGGGAAUCCCGGGUGAGCUUUUGCCGCCUAAAGAAGCCGUAGUCCCGCCACGGAAAAAAUAAAAACUUGUGAGCCCGGGGAAACUGAGUGAGCCCCAGAGUUGGACGGUAUGGGGCAGGUAGGCCCAGUAUCGCUGCAAAGGUAGCUAUGAUGCCUUUUUUAAAAAAAUAAAUAAAUAAAAGAAAAACCUAGCCGGAGUAGCAGCUUCAUUCUGGCAAGCUUUCGGUCUCAGUAAACCCCACAGGUCUUAAGGGGAAAGCAUAUUGCAGUCCCACCAAAAGGAAAGAAUUUUUUUUUUAAUUUUUAAAAAAUAUUUUAAAAUGAAGGAAAGAAAGAAACAAACAAAAACUUGGAGUUGCCUGUCAUUUUGGUUGCUCUCCCUACAGUCUUCGCCACGGUAGUGGACAUCUGCGGGGAAAUGUGUUUCUUUCUGGCACGUGGAAGUUGUAGUGUUUAUCAUUUGUUCGCUACCCCUGCCGAUAAAAGCGCCCUUGGAGGUGGCCCUGUCUCCCUGGCGAGCCCACGGCUGGCUGGCAGGAGCGGAUGUGUCCGCAGCUCUGUGAGAGUGGGUGACAGGUUUGUCCCGAACCCAACACGGUGAAAAGGAUGAGGGGCUCCGCAAAAGCAGCCGUCGAAGAGGCUGGGGAAAGGUGUCGGGCAGCUUGGGCGAAUCGGCUCCUGUGUUUGACAGGAGCAAUGCGGGCCUGCAGCUUCCCAUACAGGCUGUUGUUUACAAAGGGACGGGGAAGGCAGAGCCGAAAAGGCGAUUUCCAGACAACUGCAGCUCUACUUCAGCACUCAUUUGAGGGCACGGAACAGUUCCACGCAAGAAAAGGCGCCUCGAAGAAAACCGCCCGCCCACACCCCGUUCCUCAGCCAGACUGUGUCACAGCUAAUGGAAGGAGAGUCACAAUAAAAACCACCUUUUUAUUUAA